GAUUUAUAAGGUUGCAUCCAUAUCACUCAGUCCCAAUGUGCCUGCACAGAUAUUUAUGGCUUUGAUGGUCAACCCGCCUAAACCUGGAGAUAUUUCAUACGAGCAGUAUAUUAGGGAGAGGUAUGACAGCUAAAAUUUGGUUCCUUACGAGUCUGUGAUUGCUUCAUCAUGUUUUGAAUUUAAAUCAGUGCUAAAAUCUGAUAUGGCUAU
RNAcentral lists this unclassified non-coding RNA (210 nucleotides) under Hevea brasiliensis (rubber tree). Lineage: Eukaryota; Viridiplantae; Streptophyta; Magnoliopsida; Malpighiales; Euphorbiaceae. The record is from RNAcentral.